UACAGAGGGGGCAAGCGUUGUUCGGAAUUACUGGGCGUAAAGGGCGCGUAGGCGGCCUUCUAAGUCGAACGUGAAAUCCCUGGGCUCAACCCAGGAACUGCGUCCGAUACUGGAAGGCUUGGAUCCGGGAGAGGGAUGCGGAAUUCCAGGUGUAGCGGUGAAAUGCGUAGAUAUCUGGAGGAACACCGGUGGCGAAGGCGGCAUCCUGGACCGGCAUUGACGCUGAGGCGCGAAAGCCAGGGGAGCAAACGGG
This 253-nucleotide ribosomal RNA is filed under the name uncultured bacterium. RNAcentral's name for it is "partial 16S ribosomal RNA". It matches the Rfam family "Bacterial small subunit ribosomal RNA", at positions 524 to 776 of the family's 1533-position model. The record is from RNAcentral.